Non-coding RNA from Triticum urartu, 115 nucleotides. NCBI's taxonomy places the organism in Eukaryota, Viridiplantae, Streptophyta, Magnoliopsida, Poales, Poaceae. The record is from Rfam.
GUUCUACUCCCUCCGUCCCGAAUUACUUGUCACAGGUAUGGAUCUAUCUAAAUGUAUUUUAGUUCUAGAUACAUCCAUUUAUGCGACGAGUAAUUUGGAACGGAGUGAGUAGAUG